AUUGAACGCUGGCGUCAGGCCUAACACAUGCAAGUCGAGCGAGCGGCGGACGGGUGAGUAAUGUAUGGGGACUGCCCGAUAGAGGGGGAUAACUCCUGGAAACGGUAGCUAAUACCGCAUACUAUCGGAUUACCCCUGUGGGAUUAGCUAGUAGGUGGGGUAAUGGCUCACCUAGGCGACGAUCCCUAGCUGGUCUGAGAGGAUGAUCAGCCACACUGGGACUGAGACACGGCCCAGACUCCUACGGAGGCAGCAGUGGGGAAUAUUGGACAAUGGGGGAAACCCUGAUGCAGCCAUCCCGCGUGUAUGAUGAAGGCCUUCGGGUUGUAAAGUACUUUUGGCAGAGAAGCGGUAUCUGCAGAAUAAGCACCGGCUAACUACGUGCCAGCCGCCGCGGUAAUUC
Molecule: ribosomal RNA, 403 nt
Filed under: uncultured bacterium
Lineage: Bacteria
Description: partial 16S ribosomal RNA
Rfam family: Bacterial small subunit ribosomal RNA
Source: RNAcentral